CUCUGUUGUUAGGGAAGAACAAGUGCUAGUUGAAUAAGCUGGCACCUUGACGGUACCUAACCAGAAAGCCACGGCUAACUACGUGCCAGCAGCCGCGGUAAUACGUAGGUGGCAAGCGUUAUCCGGAAUUAUUGGGCGUAAAGCGCGCGCAGGUGGUUUCUUAAGUCUGAUGUGAAAGCCCACGGCUCAACCGUGGAGGGUCAUUGGAAACUGGGAGACUUGAGUGCAGAAGAGGAAAGUGGAAUUCCAUGUGUAGCGGUGAAAUGCGUAGAGAUAUGGAGGAACACCAGUGGCGAAGGCGACUUUCUGGUCUGUAACUGACACUGAGGCGCGAAAGCGUGGGGAGCAAACAGGAUUAGAUACCCUGGUAGUCCACGCCGUAAACGAUGAGUGCUAAGUGUUAGAGGGUUUCCGCCCUUUAGUGCUGA
Molecule: ribosomal RNA, 428 nt
Filed under: Bacillus cereus
Lineage: Bacteria; Bacillati; Bacillota; Bacilli; Caryophanales; Bacillaceae
Description: bacterial SSU rRNA
Rfam family: Bacterial small subunit ribosomal RNA
Source: RNAcentral